UUCCCUCUGUUUGGAGGAUAAUGCACAUAAGUGGAAGAAUGUGGUCCAUUGUCGUAUUGCUAAUGAAUCUACUAUAUCUAAUAAACAUCAUUCUUGCACUCAUGUUAUUGAUCUGAUGAAUAGGAUUAGUCUUCUUCCUACCAUCACUGAGGUUGGUCUCUUCUAUCUUUAGUUGAUUUAAAGUUUAUUGUAAAUUUGCCUACUAAUCUGAAUGACCCUGGUGCUGCGGAGUAUCAAAAAGUGCAUGUUCGUGGUUUAUGUUUCAACAUCUCUUAUGCUCUUCUCAAUGCUUGCUGAUUUUUUAGUAGUUCUUUCGUCUCCUGGGCAAUUGGCUUUGGAGCUAUCUUGUGACACUCUACGUUCUUGGCCUACCGAUGGUCAAUUGCCUACUGUUAAGCUUAGUGUUAAAGAUGCCAUUUUGCAAAAAAAUUGGCAUUUCUAAUUGGUACCCAUUCUCUCAUGUAUCCACUAUCACUACCAUUCUUGCCAAUUUAAUCUUUUUGGUUGGUACUGGUUCCAAGGUGGAUGUUGGUGACUUUAUAUUUCGACUGUGUGUUGCGGCAUGUGGUUACGUUUGGUAUCAACAUCUCUAUUCUUUUCCUUCGACUUUUGUGUGAGUUUUUGCUAUCCUAACAUUUGUCCUUUCUCAAUGAAACUGACAUUGCUGGUCCAACUCUCAAAGUUUUAUCUCUCAGUUUUAUCAGUAGUUUCAAUGGUCCCAUGUGCCUGAUCUUCAUGCCAGUUUUCGUCCUCCUCGGUCUGAACCUCAGUUGUUUAUUGCUGAUAUGAGAAUUUCAUCUAUUGGGUUAGUGUUAUCUUAUAAAUUGGCGUCUUGUGUGGUUUAGCUGCUCUCUGAUGAAUCUUGGACUCUUAGUGUUUCUAUACAGUUUAUAAGGAGUGGACAAUGAUCUGUUUGGUAGACGAUUUCUGUUGAUUCUAUGCCUCAUGUUUUUCAUUUCUUAAUUGUUGAGUCUUAGAAGAGGCCUUCUGAUUCUUCUGGUCCUGCUUCUUAGUUUAUUUGUCAGCCAACAAGGGGGAGUUUUUUUUGUUUUUGUUUGGUUCCUUGCUUUAUUUUGUGUGAAGUUUGUUAUUUUGAUCUCAAUACAGCAGAACAAUUCUAUUUUUUUUUCUUGCUUCUUAUUCAGGGUGUUGAUUUAGUCUUUUGGAAUGAAAUGAGAAAUGGUGUUAUGGUUUCUGGUUGGUUUCUUCAAUUUCUCUGUUUGUUGUAUGUUGUUUUAUUCUGUGCUCUGACUAUUCUUCUCUCUAUUUGUGGUUGUGAUUGGUUGGUGUACUUGUCUAAACAAAUAAAGGAAGAUGGUCCUAAGGGGGAGUUUGUUGUGUGGUGAUCCCACUUUCUGAUAUUUAUUUAUUAUUAUAUUUUGAGAAAAUAUCUUUGUUUUGACUACGUUUGUUAAGAUUGUUUCUGGUUGUUGAGAUUUGUUUCUACUUUUGUGGGUAAUUGGUUGUUUCUCGGGCAUUGGGUUUUUAUCUUUCUGUGUUAUGGUUCCUUUGGGUGUGCAGAAAAAUAAGGGUUUCAGGUGAUUGAGUGAUAUGAAAAGAAGAUGAAAAAGCUUAAGAGUGUAAUUGUUCUUGUGGGUAAGUUGAAGAUGUUGAAAAAGCUUUUCUAAAUUAGAAUUAGUAUUGUGUGAUUCGAGAUUGUUGAAGAUCAAAUGCAACUUAGCUAGGUCAAUUGCUAAAAGUGAUUAUAGAUUAAGGGGGAGGUAUUCCUUUAUGAUGUUUAUAAUGAAUACUAGUGCUUAGUUUUACUGUUUCAUAAGUCAGUAAGAAAGAGUCAUUAAAGUACACAAUGGUGAAAAUGUGUUGUGAAUUCUAUACUAAUAGUCAUAAGUCUGUAAUUAUGAAUCAUAUCACAAAGCAAUACAAAAUCUCUUAUCAUGGGUCAAGGACCCCUAGAUGUAGAUGUUGUGUCAUCGAACUGGGUUAACAAUGUCUAGUGUUACUUCUGUUAUAUCUACUUAUUCACUACUAGAAAAAUGGACUUUUUCUUGACGUUUGUGAUUUUAAGUACUUGAUGAGUUAAAAAAAAACGUCAAGAAAUUGGUGAUUUCAAAGAUAAAAUGUCGAACUUUAUGAAAAGCCGGAGGUGGGCCAAUUUUCAGCUUUUUUAAACAUUUUUUAAAUGUAAGUGAUAAGUACUUUUUCUUGACGUUUCAAAAAUGUCAAGUAAUAUCUUUUGUUUUCUAGACAUUUUCAAAAACAUAAAAAAAAUAUUACGAAAAGGUGGAGGUGGGGUAAUUUUUAUGAAAAGUUUUUCACUAUGAAACAUUUCUUGAUGUUUAAAAAAUGCAAGUGCUAUGUAUCUUUACUUGACGUUUUUAAAACAUCAAGUAAUAUCUAUUAAAUUCUUGACCUAAAACAUCAAGAAUUUUUAUAAAAAAGUGGAGGUGGCCGAAUUUUCAAAAAAUUUUCACAUAGCGACAUUUGUUGACGUUUUUAAACACAUCAAGUGCUAUCUAUGUUUACUUGACGUUUGAAAAACAUCAAGAAUACUAGGAAAAUAUAAAUGAUGUUUUAAUAUUAAAAAUUUAGGUCUCCAAAAUUAAUUUCUCUCCUUUUUGGUGUUGGUGAAUGCUUGGAGAGCAUCUAUGAUAGUUUAACAGAUUUUGCUGCCAAGGAACUGGCCAGCUUAAAGAACCUAAAGGUUAAUUAGUUCAACGUGGAAAAUGUUAUAGAAAUUCUGGUGCAGGUUGUGGAAUCUCCAAGUUUGUAUUUGAAGCCAAGUUCAUCCAAGGUCAUUGAGUUUCAAGGCUUCUUUGAUUAAGUUUGUGCUUUUUGAACUAGAAUUAUAAUCUUGUGAUUUUUGGAAUAGCAUAGUUGGAUUAGUUUUAUAAUUUUGGAAUUAUCAUGUUAGGUUGGAGUUGAUGGAAGUAAUGUUUUGUAUAUGACAAUAUUGAACAAAUAUGUAAGGUUUCAAAA
Molecule: long non-coding RNA, 2937 nt
Organism: Cucumis melo (muskmelon)
Lineage: Eukaryota; Viridiplantae; Streptophyta; Magnoliopsida; Cucurbitales; Cucurbitaceae
Exons: 2
Source: RefSeq, a predicted model, not a curated record